ACAGAGUGAGACCCUGUCUCAAAACAACAACAACAACAACAACAACAAAACAAAACUUUUUGUUAUGGAAAAUGUCAAAUGUGUAAAAGUAAAGAGAAUCGUAAAAUGAACACCCUUUGAUAAUUAUCGAUACAGCAUCAAUCUGGUUUCAUCUAAAUCCCUUCCACUCUCUCCCCGCUGGAUUAUUUUAAAGCAAACCUCAGAAAUCAUUUUAUACAUACAUAAAUACUUUUGACAUUUUUAAAGGAAGGAUUUGAAGUACUAAACAUAGAACUUUAGUUCACCUGAGGUUAACUAACUGAAACCCUCAAUUAACUAUCCUCCAAUUUUAAGAGAACAGGACAAAUUGGAAGAAAUUAUCUGCCAUCUCGGAGCUUAAAAAAAUUCAACGUAAUAGGUUCUAGUCUUAAAACAAAUCCAGCAUAAUUUUCUGAACUUCUACACUUUGAAAAACUCAAAUGAGGAACUGAUAUUCAUUACACUGAACUCAAGGUAUUGCAAGAGCUAAAUUAUCACAGAAACAGCCAAGAUGAAGUGUUUCACCAGAACCUUCCUAUGUUGCAACCCUGCUUAUUAAAUUUAAAUUUUAGUGUGGGAAGUAUACUUUUCUAUGGUAACUUUUUUUUUUUUUUUGAGACAGAGUUUCACUAUUGUCACCCAGGCUGGAGUGCAGUGGUGCGAUCUCGGCUCACUGCAAGCUCCACCUCCAGGGUUAAAGUGAUUCUUCUGCCUCGGCCUCCCAAGUAGCUGGGAUUACAGGCGCUCACCCCCAUGCCCAGCUAAUUUUUGUAUUUUCAGUAGAGACAGGGUUUCACCAUGUUGGUCUCAAACUCCUGACCUCAGGUGAUCCACCCACCUUGGCCUCCCAAAGUUCUGGGAUUACAGGCGUGAGCCACCAUGCCCGGCCUAUGGUAACAUUUUUCAAAAGGACAUUUUUGCUGAAUCUCAUUUUUCCAGAAAAUAACGUUUCAUUAUAUUUGGAUGUAAAAUGACACAGCUAGAAUCCCAAAGUGUUUUUUAAUUUCAUUUAAUUUCAUUUAAUAAUGAAGUAGUGUUACGUGAGGAUUGUUGAGAAUCUUGAAAAUUACUGCUAUUUACUUCUUGUAAUCUAAUACACAUUUUUUGAACUCUUUCUGUUUCCAACAUGUCUUUUGGGACUCGAAACUUCUGAAGUUCUUUUCUGAUAUGUCUCAUGAUGACCACUGCAACUGCCUUUGUCCAAGCCAAUAUCAUCUCUCACCUGCCUUUCAUGAUAGCCUUCUGAUUGGUCUCUCUGCAUCAGCCCUUUCCUGCCUCUGCCUGAAAGAGUUAAAGCAGUCCUUUUAAAACAUGUCAGGUCACCUCACUUCUUGGCUCAGAACCCUCCAGUUGGCUUCCCAUCUCACUAAGACAUGGCGUGCAAUAUUCUCAGUAGAAGUGGUAUUGCUAAGGUAUGUUUUGGAAAUUUGUGGGAGUAUUUUUGGUUGUACCAUAAUUAAGUGGUAGCAUUGAGUAUGUGGGGGUCUGGGCUGCUAGACCAUUAUACAUACUCCCUCACUAUAAAGAAUUGUCCCUCAUCCUCCCGUAUGAGUUUUUUAAAAAAUCCAUUUUUGGCCAGGCGUGGUGGCUCACACUGUAAUCCCAGCACUUUGGGAGGCCAAGGCGGGCAGAUCACCUGAGGUCAAGAGUUCGAGACAAGCCUGGCCAACGUGGUGAACCCUCGUCUCUACUAAAAAUACAAAAAAAAAUUAAAUGGGCGUGGUGGUGCGUGCCUGUAGUCCCAGCUACUCGGGGAGGCUGAGGCAGGAGAGAAUCGCUUGAACCCAGGAGGUGGAGGUUGCAGUGAGCCGAGAUCAUGCCAUUGCAUUCCAGCCUGGACAACAAGAGCAAAACUCUGUCUCAAAAAAUAAUGAUAAUAAUAAUAAUCCAUUUUUGAGGUAUGGUUUAUCAAAAGUAAAAUGUACCCAUUUUAAGUGUACAAUUUGAUGUUUGACACAUUUAUAUAUCUGUGUAACCACCACAAUAAUCAAGGCAUAAAACAUUCCCAUCACCACAAAAAGUUCUCUCAUGUGCCUUCUGCAUGACCUUUGAAUAGCCCGUUGGAUAUUCUUGAAGGUGAAAAACCUGUUUAUAAAUAUCUGAGCCUAGAAACUAAUUACAUAUAUAUAAACACAAAAUAUUUUUAGCAUAGUUUUAAUGUACACUUGAUUUUCCAGAAAUGUAACUGUGAUGUAAGUUGAGAACAAAAUGGUAUUUUGUUCAGAAUUUUGUCAGAGGUUUGCUAUUCUGGAAAAACAUGUCAGAGACAGCAUCAGCUUCACUAUUCAUGGCAUUUGAGACAAGAAGUCAACAUUCCUCUAUCAGUCUGCAUUUGUAGCUACCACAUUUAUGUGAUUCUACAUAAAGGUGUAAACACCUAUUUCAUUAUAUCUUUUAUGGUGUUCAUGUCUGCACAUUUACAUAUUAAAAUAUAUAUUAUUAUAAAUUGCUUUCAUGCAUUUCUCAUUUAUAUUACAGGUUUAGCAUUAUAUUAGUUAUUUUGAAGUUAGUUUUGUAUAUAGUUAUAAUAUCCAUAAAUUUAAUUUCAGCAUAUGAAGGGAAAAGUAUAAAAUAUUUAUUAUAUAAAAGGGGCACUGGGUCUGUUAGCCUAGAGAAACACUACCCUACAUAUUCUGACCCAGCCACUUUCUUUUCCUAGAUUUCCUCAGUAAUUGAAUCUACUGUUGGCUGUUCUGCUCUCCACUCCCUUGCUCUGCCCACUAACCACUGGCUUCCCUGCUUUUCCAUGCAAGCUCCAGCAUAUGCCCACCCCUGGACCUCUGUCUGCAUUUGCUGUUUGUUUUCUCUGUGGAAUGCUCUUCCAUCAGCCAGCUACUUUUCAUGAGGAUACUCAAGCAUUCCUAUGGAGAGAUCCACAUGGUGAGAAACUGAAGCCUCCUACCAAGAGCCAGCACCAACUUGCCAGCUAUGUGAAUGAGCCAUCUUAGAAGUGGGUUCUCUAGCCCUAGUCAGGCCUUCAUAUGACUGCAGCCAGGGCUGAUAUUUUGACUACAACCUCAUGAGAGACUGAGCCACAACAACCUAGCUAAGAAGCUCCUGAAUUCCCUACCAACAGAAACUAUGUGAGAUAAUGUUUGUUGUUUUAACUAAGUUUUCAAGUGGUAAUUUGUUAUACAGAAUAUGUAACUAAUAAAGCAUGGCUCCUUUAGGUCUAAA
This is a long non-coding RNA of Homo sapiens (human), 3195 nucleotides long. RefSeq lists it as uncharacterized. The record is from RefSeq and is a predicted model, not a curated record. NCBI's taxonomy places the organism in Eukaryota, Metazoa, Chordata, Mammalia, Primates, Hominidae. The transcript is spliced from 2 exons.